GAUAGAGCAUUGCAAUUAUUGCUCUUCAACGAGGAAUCCCUAGUAAGCGCAAGUCAUCAGCUUGCGUUGAUUACGUCCCUGCCCUUUGUACACACCGCCCGUCGCUACUACCGAUUGAAUGGCUCAGUGAGACCUUCGGACUGGCCCAGAGAGGUGGGCAACUGCCACUCAGGGCCGGAAAGUUGUUCAAACUCGGUCAUUUAGAGGAAGUAAAAGUCGUAACAAGGUCUCCGUUGGUGAACCAGCGGAGGGAUCAUUACCGAGUUAUCGCUCCAAACCCAUUGUGAACCUUACCUACUGUUCUGUUGCCUCGGCGGGGGGACCUGCGGGAACCGCCCUAGCGGGCGCCCCUGGCCACCCUCCGCCGGCAGCACCAAACUCCUGAAUUUAUAGCGGACAAACGUUUCUGAAUGAUAAAAAAAAUGAGUUAAAGCUUUCAACAACGGAUCUCUUGGUUCUGGCAUCGAUGAAGAACGCAGCGAAAUGCGAUAAGUAAUGUGAAUUGCAGAAUUCAGUGAACCAUCGAAUCUUUGAACCCACAUUGCGCCCGGCAGUAAUCUGCCGGGCAUGCCUGUCCGAGCGUCAUUUCAACCCUCGAGCCUAGUCUUCUCGGCUCGGCGUUGGGGCGCUACGGGUCAUUUUACAUGCCCCGUAGGCCCCGAAAUACAGUGGCGGUCCCGCCGCGGCGCCCCCUGCGUAGUAGUGUCUUUACAGAACUCGCAUUGGGUCCCGGCGGAGGCUUGCCAGUCAAACCACACUAUCACAAGAUGGUUUGACCUCGGAUCAGGUAGGGUUACCCGCUGAACUUAAGC
RNAcentral lists this ribosomal RNA (812 nucleotides) under uncultured fungus. Its description in RNAcentral is "eukaryotic LSU rRNA". The stretch from base 1 to 259 matches the Rfam family "Eukaryotic small subunit ribosomal RNA", at positions 1575 to 1831 of the family's 1831-position model. Lineage: Eukaryota; Fungi. The record is from RNAcentral.